AAAAGAGAAAAGAAGAGGAGGAGAAACGAGAAAAAGACAGAGAUGCACUGUUGAAGUUUCUAAAUCCCACCCCUGGGCCAUCUACCACAUCUACCGCUGCUGCCUCCACUUCAGCAGCACAACCCACCAGUGAUGCAGCAUCAGCAGCACAACCCAGCCAUGAUGCAGCAGCAUCAAGCGGUCUUCCUGUUGCCUCCACCUCUGCAGCACAACCCAGCAGUGAUGCAGCAGCAUCAAGCGGUCCUCCUGCUGCACCAAUAGACCCUGCUGACUGGCCUUCUGCUUUAACUGAAAAGCUAGAUGUGGCUGUCGACUUGCUGAAGAAAACCAAAGAUUCCCUCACCAGCUACAGAAACACUGGAUUUUCUGAUGCACAGACAACGGCAAAGGAGAUGUGUGAAGAAAUGAAUGUGGAGGCUGAACUCAAACAAAAGCGAUUGAGAA
Long non-coding RNA from Oreochromis aureus, 444 nucleotides. RefSeq lists it as uncharacterized. The record is from RefSeq and is a predicted model, not a curated record. NCBI's taxonomy places the organism in Eukaryota, Metazoa, Chordata, Actinopteri, Cichliformes, Cichlidae. The transcript is spliced from 3 exons.